GCCUGCAUGGCUCAGUGGUUGAGCAUCAACCUAUGAAGCAGGAGGUCAUAGUUCGAUUCUUGGUUAGGGCA
RNAcentral lists this transfer RNA (71 nucleotides) under Myotis lucifugus (little brown bat). It matches the Rfam family "tRNA". From Rfam's summary of the family: Transfer RNA (tRNA) molecules are approximately 80 nucleotides in length. Lineage: Eukaryota; Metazoa; Chordata; Mammalia; Chiroptera; Vespertilionidae. The record is from Rfam by way of RNAcentral.